Molecule: long non-coding RNA, 1426 nt
Organism: Peromyscus maniculatus bairdii (prairie deer mouse)
Lineage: Eukaryota; Metazoa; Chordata; Mammalia; Rodentia; Cricetidae
Source: RefSeq, a predicted model, not a curated record
GGCUUCGGGCUGGGUGUGCGGAGGGGACACCUGGAUCCGGAAGGCGGGGGCCGGGGCUCCGACGCCCGUGUCCCAAAGGGCUCCGGAGGAUGGCUGGGACUCCUAGGUCCCUGGGGAGGGUAUACUGGGCAAGGUGAUCGGUGCCAGGCCUUUUGGGAGGGGGCUGGGCUGCCGGGAUCCGCGGUGGCGAUGGGAUGCGCACCGGCCCCAGUGCAGAUGUGGCCGCCGCCGGGCGCCCGCGCCGGUGUCUCGCGCCGGCUUGGAGCUCCGAAGAGGCGCCGCCUCCCCCACCCCACUUGCAGGAGACCCCACUUUCUUCCUCCCACAGACCCCUGUAGCCCCUGCGAGGCCCCCCCAAACCCAAUAAUGGUUCGGUCCUCAUCCACAUCAAUGUUUAUUCUCUGAGACCGGGUCCCAGUGGUGACAUUCCUUCCCCCUCCUUUUCCCGCUCCGUGAAGUGGCCCGGGGCCCAGCCCCGCCUCCACCUUUCCCUCAGCCAAUUCCCACCCAGCACCGGGGGCCUCAUUUGCAUUUCCGGGACCAGCUGCCCAAUCAGAAGGCAAGACCACGCCUCCUCUCCCACGGGGGUGGCUCUCCUGGCGGACUGCACCACUCUUGGGAUCCAUGGAUGAAGGAAGAGGCAUCCAUCAACGUCUGGGUGACGAGGAGGGUGGGUCCUUCCUUCAAGUCAGGGCCUGGAGUUCAGCAACAGGGGGUUGCUCUUGCCUUGGAAGAAGCUUAGCAGUCCCAUGUCUGGGACUGGCUCCUUAAUGAUCUUCUGGAUCUGCAGGCAGAGGAGGUCAAGAAGUCAAGGGCCGGCCCCCAUGGCAUCUCCACGAUAUCGAAUCUGAGGAGCACCCCUUCAUCUUCAUCUCCCUUAUUAUUCUGACAGCAUCAUUCAUCCAGUCAACCACUUAACAGUCUUCUCGGUGGCCUCUUCCUCCCUCACACUCGCCUGGCUGAGCUACACCCCAUCGCCUAUGUUGGGCUGCUCGGUUGCCUUGGACCACUGAUGACGGAUGGCUCUGUCUUAGGGCCUCUUGCCUACACCUUCCCUUCUUCACUCAUCUUUCCCGUCAUUCCUUUAAGCCUUCGGCUCCCACACAGGUCCAGACUGUGACCAUGAACUCUCAACUCAUUCACACAAGUCCCUCUUGGUUGAACACGAGUAACUAACCACAUUACCUUCAUCAGUUCAUCUCCAGACAACUAAACCAAAACAAAAAAAAAACCCACAAAUCCCUCAAUCUCCACUGCCUCUUCCCAGUUAAGUCCCACAGCUGAUCGAAGGAUGUGCAAAGGUCAGUCUCCUUUCUGUCCUAGGCCACCUAAUGAAAUCCCUUGGCUAUUCUAUAAGGUACCAAUUCGAUGGUGGCCAGCUCCCACUUUUUCCUUUUUCUUUUAAAUAAAGCAUAGUUGAAGCAUA